UACGUAGGGGGCAAGCGUUGUCCGGAUUUAUUGGGCGUAAAGAGCGUGUAGGCGGCCAGGUAGGUCAGCUGUGAAAACUCGAGGCUCAACCUCGAGACGUCGGUUGAAACCACUUGGCUAGAGUCCGGAAGAGGAGAGUGGAAUUCCUGGUGUUGCGGUGAAAUGCGCAGAUAUCAGGAAGAACACCCGUGGCGAAGGCGGCUCUCUGGGACGGUACUGACGCUGAGACGCGAAAGCGUGGGGAGCGAACAGG
This 253-nucleotide ribosomal RNA is filed under the name uncultured bacterium. RNAcentral describes it as "partial 16S ribosomal RNA". It matches the Rfam family "Bacterial small subunit ribosomal RNA", at positions 524 to 776 of the family's 1533-position model. The record is from RNAcentral.